ACCGCAGGUUAUUUUGAAUGAGUUAAAAUGGAUUAACAGUUUAAAUUUUAUUAUGUAGCUACCCCUUUCAGAUCUCCCCCCCCCCAAUUUAACCCAUUAGGGGUAUUAGCUAUGUUUUUUCCUUCCAAGUGUCAGUUGAGUAUUUAUGCUUUUGCAGAGGGGGAAAAUCUUCGAUACGGCGUAUGGCUUUUAUUACAUGUUUCACACUGUUCAAGAAAUGGAGUUUUAAGCAACAUACAAUUAAAUCUAUAUUGCUGUUUGGAGGAGGGCCAAGGAACUCGGCAAUCAAUUAGUUUAGAUCUUUUGAUACUUGUUGCUAAAAUACAAGUAUAAAACUACAACCUUCAGGGCUAGCUGCUCCCCUCCUUUUAACAAGAAAGCAGGCUAGUUAGGAAUGUCAGAAGGAAUGGCAGUUGCUCUUGCCUCCAGUUUAUCCUUUGAAUUCUUCAGUGAUACUCACAGAUUUUUUUUUCUACUUCCUCCUUGCCUUCCCAACAGUUUCUUGUCUCCUGUUUUUAGCUUUGUUUUAGGAUUUUGUUAAUAAAUUUACUUUUUAAUUGUAUUAUUUACAA
This 572-nucleotide long non-coding RNA is filed under the name Mus musculus (house mouse). RNAcentral describes it as "predicted gene, 29683". Lineage: Eukaryota; Metazoa; Chordata; Mammalia; Rodentia; Muridae. The record is from RNAcentral.